ACAUACAGAAAUUUGUGGUAGGCAGAAUAAUGGCCCUCAAAGAUUUCCACGUCCUAAUCCUCAGAACCUGUGAAUAGGUGCUGUUUCUUGGCAAAGGCUAAGUAAGGUUGCAGAUGGAAUCAAGGUUGUUAAUCAUUUGAACUUAAAAUGGGGAGACGAGCCUGGAUUAUCCAGGUGAGUCCAAUGUAAUCAGAAAGCUCCUUAAAAGUGGAAGAGAGGCAGAAGAGAUCAGAGUCAUGAGAUAUGAGAAGGACUGGACCUGUCAUUGCUGGAGGAAGUGGGCUAUGAACCAAAGUGGUGGCUUCUAGAAGCUGGAAAAGGCAAGGAAAGGAUUCACCCCUAAAGCCUCAGGAAAGGAAUUCAGUCCUGCUGACACCUUCAUCUUAGCCCAGUGAGACCCUUGUUGAACUUCUACAGAGCUUGAGUGAUUUAUUCUCCUGAGAAGAUCUGGAGGAGUUACAGCUUAUUGGAAAGGAAGGCAAAAAUAGGGAUGCUCUUCCAAAUACCAAAAUGAGCAAGAGGAAUUGGACUAGAUUUUAACUAAACAUGAAGACUGAACUUUCCUUCUAGAUCUCAGUGAUGCUGGAAGUGGCCCUCCUGUCUUGUGGCACGCAGCAGCCUCAGGACCUGUUAAACUAUCACUGGAAAGGGGAGGAGGAGAGAAAGCUCCCAGAAAGGGAAGGCAGCUCCCCGCUUCAGGCACAUAAUGCCAAUCAGAACAUGACAUUGUAAUACAUCAAACACGUUUCCAGAAGAAAAGAACUUGUGAAUUUAACAGCAGUUGGGUGUGGGAAGUCCAUCAGCAUUUUCAAAUAAUCAUGUCCAUAAUCAACUAAAAAGGCUAUCUUCAGUUAACAAGAGUUAGUCCUUCAUAUAUGGACUAUUAACAAGACACUAAUGCAAGACUUACUAAUCAGACUUCCCUACUAGACACUACCUUGCAUUUAUUGUUGAGAUGUGACACAUGAUGUUAAUUACAAAAUAAAUGACAUUCAGCCAGAAUCUAAAUAUCUAGGAAUCUAAAAUAACCAGAUCUUAUCUCCCACCCCUAUAGUCUCGUACGAUGAUAAUGAUGCCAACCCAGAAAACCCUGACAUUUUCUGUUUCUAAGGUUUCUCUGAAUCACCAUAAAGAUUUACUUAUGCUCUUGUGAAAUGCAUGUGCAUUGUUUUUACAGUAAGCCAAUUCUUCAAAAAUUGGUAAUCUGAAAUAUGAGACUUCCCAAAGCAGCCUUAGCAAGAAAAUUGCCGCAUUUGCUUCUUAACAGUCCUACCAGAUUACCCCCAAAUUUGGUGAGAUUUCCACUCUUUAGACUUGGGUGGUGAGGAGCAUAGUUAAACAGAUGUGGGCACGAAUCCUCUUCACUUCAACCCGUAAUCUUGGGCACGUUCAUUAACUCUCUGUGCUCAGUUUCCUCAACUGAAAAUCGAGAAAAACAAUACCUAUACCAUGAGGGUAUUCGUGUGGGGACUAAAUGAGAUAAUGUAUAAUAAUGACAUACUGUCCAGUAAUCCUUUAAUAAAUAGGGACUGCUAAUAUCUUCUUUAACUCAAUCACCUGUUUAGAGGGUGAGCAAUGACAGUGAGGCAUAUAAAAAUACACACAACUCUGAGGGAACCCUCUGCACUGGAGAGAAACUACAACCACGCAUGACACACUGACACCAAUCUUAAACCAUUUAUAGGAAAGGGCUAAGUGACCAGCAUACAAUAUUGGUUUAGAAAUUGAGAGACGUUGCAAACACAAAUGGCAGAGCAUUCUUAGUCCUCCAUUCUCACCUGAUCCCAAUAAUGAAGAGCACAGCUGGGAUGGAAGGAGACCAAGCUCCCUACCUUCCUGCCCAGCGCUCUUUACAACCUGCGAGCUGCACGCUGAGGCAUCACAGCCAGGCCGCGGAUGGUGGAUACAAUUAUCUCCCAGCCCUUUGAAGUUCGGCCAGAAAUAUUUGUUGUCAAUAUCACAUGUGAUUAGGACAGUAAUGUCCUCCUGCAAAAGACAGAACCCUUUGUCCACCACCCUCCUUCUGCCACUGCCAGAGAGCAGGAAGUGGGUGAGGGGCCGGCGCCUCUCUCCUCUUGGUCCAAUUUCACACAUUGGUUUUUCAGCAUUAAUAAAUUGGUUACAUUUGCCCUGCAUUUGGCAGCGAGGUUUCUAAUAACACUCUGAUCCCUUCAGAGAACAUGAAUCACUGGCAUGUGGGGGCUCUGGUUACCUCCCCCGACUGUCUGCUGCUAAAGGUCCCACACAUUAGCAAGGGUCAGGCACUCACCCGGGCCAGGGCAAAGUCUAAGACAAGGGCCAUGGCUUCGAGGCACUGCCACGGAGCUCAAAGAUUUUCCCUCAGAGGGAGAACAGAAAACUUUGAGCCCAGGCAAUGUGCAGCUUUCUUCAGCUGUCAAUCCUACCUGGUUUGCAUAUAGAUUAAGAAAACGUGUGAGAUUUUACCACAAGAAUCAGUCCAGAGAAUUCAAGGAGGGUGGUGGUGGGUGGAGAGAGGAUGGGAGGGAAAAAAAUGUGUGAUGCAGAUGUCUGAGAGUUAUGUGCCGCUCAGACACUGCCUCCUUUGUGAAGCCGGGAAUCUUCGGGGAUGGAUAGCCUGAGUGAGGACGGUGUACGAGGCAUCUACUUUUCUCUGAGGCAUGGUUCUUCUGGCUAUAGAAUUAGGUAUGCAAAAGGACCAUGAGCAAGGGGAAGCCCUGGGACUGAGAGGAGGCCCAGAGUCAGCGGCCAGUCACAACUUCAACCUUGGUGGGCGAAGCAGAGGGAGAAAAGAGGGCAAAGAAAUAUCUAAAGAGAGCACAGACAGGUCUAGGACAAACAAAGGGGGUAAAAUGGGAGGAAGAGAUGGAAAGAACAAUGAAAAAAGAGAAUCAAGAAGAGAGAGAGAGGAAAGAAGUUCAAUCAAAUCCAAUAGAUAUGCUAACCUCUACUUGAGAGAAAGGAGUGUUUUUACAUAUAGCAAGUAUAUAUGGAAUCCAGUUGCUGCCCCCCCAGGAGCCC
This is a long non-coding RNA of Equus caballus (horse), 3000 nucleotides long. The record is from Ensembl. NCBI's taxonomy places the organism in Eukaryota, Metazoa, Chordata, Mammalia, Perissodactyla, Equidae.